Molecule: long non-coding RNA, 1170 nt
Organism: Oncorhynchus tshawytscha (Chinook salmon)
Lineage: Eukaryota; Metazoa; Chordata; Actinopteri; Salmoniformes; Salmonidae
Source: Ensembl
CCUAUAUAGUGCACUACUAUAGACCAGGGCCCUAUUCCCUAUAUAGUGCACCACUAUAGACCAGGGCCCUAUUCCCUAUAUAGUGCACUACUAUAGACCAGGGCCCUAUUCCCUAUAUAGUGCACUACUAUAGACCAGGGCCCUAUUCCCUAUAUAGUGCACCACUAUAGACCAGGGCCCUAUUCUCUAUAUAGUGCACCACUAUAGACCAGGGCCCUAUUCUCUAUAUAGUGCACCACUAUAGACCAGGGCCCUAUUCUCUAUAUAGUGCACUACUUUAGACCAGGGCCCUAUUCCCUAUAUAGUGCACUACUAUAGACCAGGGCCCUAUUCCCUAUAUAGUGCACCACUAUAGACCAGGGCCCUAUUCUCUAUAUAGUGCACCACUAUAGACCAGGGCCCUAUUCUCUAUAUAGUGCACUACUAUAGACCAGGGCCCUAUUCCCUAUAUAGUGCACUACUAUAGACCAGGGCCCUAUUCCCUAUAUAGUGCACUACUAUAGACCAGGGCCCUAUUCCCUAUAUAGUGCACCACUAUAGACCAGGGCCCUAUUCUCUAUAUAGAGCACUACAUUAUGGACACAGAUUCAUGUAACUAAGUUAUUACAAAUAAUAAAGACGUCAACUCGAGACAGGAAUGUGAGAUUAGUUAUUCCCCAAAUUUUCACUCAAUUUUGACAUCUAUUUAAACAGGUUUACUGUCAGUUAAACAAACGAUGUAGUCCAGCUAACAUCUCAUAUAUUAACUCAGAUCUCAUGUGGGAUGGCAGGGUAGCCUAGUGGUUAGAGUGUAGAGGUGGCAGGGUAGCCUAGUGGUUAGAGUGUAGAGGUGGCAGGGUAGCCUAGUGGUUAGAGUGUAGAGGUGGCAGGGUAGCCUAGUGGUUAGAGUGUAGAGGCUGCAGGGUAGCCUAGUGGUUAGAGUGUAGGGGCGGUAGGGUAACCUAGUGGUUAGAGUGUAUAGGCGGCAGGGUAGCCUAGUGGUUAGAGUGUAGAGGUGGCAGGGUAGCCUAGUGGUUAGAGUGUAGAGGCGGUAGGGUAGCCUAGUGGUUAGAGUGUAGAGAUGGUAGGGUAGCCUAGUGGUUAGAGUGUAGGGGAGGCAGGGUAGCCUAGUGGUUAGAGUGUAGAGGCUGCAGGGUAGCCCCUGAACAGGCAGUUAACCCACUGUUCCCA